UACGUAGGUGGCGAGCGUUGUCCGGAAUUACUGGGCGUAAAGGGCUCGUAGGCGGCCAACUAAGUCACACGUGAAAUCCCCAGGCUUAACCUGGGAACUGCGUGUGAUACUGGAUGGCUUGAAUCCGGGAGAGGGAUGCAGAAUUCCAGGUGUAGCGGUGAAAUGCGUAGAUAUCUGGAGGAAUACCGGUGGCGAAGGCGGCAUCCUGGACCGGCAUUGACGCUGAUGAGCGAAAGCCAGGGGAGCAAACGGG
Molecule: ribosomal RNA, 253 nt
Filed under: uncultured bacterium
Lineage: Bacteria
Description: partial 16S ribosomal RNA
Rfam family: Bacterial small subunit ribosomal RNA
Source: RNAcentral